UCCAUAGUAACAGUCCUAAAUUACAACAAACACGUAGAUUAUACUCAAAGAUUAUGGUGAAAAAUCAAUCAAAACAACAUCAAUAAUCAGUAAAUCUAAACAAUCAAGUACUAAAUAUCAACAAUCUUGAAGAAAAUAAUUAAAUUAUAACCUAAUUUAAGAGACUAAAAGUUCUCCAUAGUGACAGUCCUAAAUUACAACAAACACGUAGAUUAUACUCAAAGAUUAUGGUGAAAAAUCAAUCAAAACAACAUCAAUAAUCAGUAAAUCUAAACAAUCAAGUACUAAAUAUCAACAAUCUUGAAGAAAAUAAUUAAAUUAUAACCUAAUUUAAGAGACUAAAAGUUCUCCAUAGUGACAGUCCUAAAUUACAACAAACACGUAGAUUAUACUCAAAGAUUAUGGUGAAAAAUCAAUCAAAACAACAUCAAUAAUCAGUAAAUCUAAACAAUCAAGUACUGAAUAUAAUCUUGAAGAAAAUAAUCAAAUUAUAACCUAAUUUAAGAGACUAAAAGUUCUCCAUAGUGACAGUCCUAAAUUACAACAAACACG
RNAcentral lists this long non-coding RNA (552 nucleotides) under Medicago truncatula (barrel medic). RNAcentral describes it as "long non-coding RNA (MTRU_LNC002664)". Lineage: Eukaryota; Viridiplantae; Streptophyta; Magnoliopsida; Fabales; Fabaceae. The record is from RNAcentral.